RNAcentral lists this long non-coding RNA (266 nucleotides) under Manihot esculenta (cassava). RNAcentral's name for it is "long non-coding RNA (MESC_LNC002124)". Lineage: Eukaryota; Viridiplantae; Streptophyta; Magnoliopsida; Malpighiales; Euphorbiaceae. The record is from RNAcentral.
CACCCUCGGUUCCAUUUAGCUGGAUUUUUGGCAGAGAAAUUUAAAUAUCAACACUUCAGCCAUCUGCAUUUGUUAUGUAUGUUUGAGCUGAUAAGCAUAAUUCAUCAUCCUCAUAAUUUCACUACUUGUUUCUAUCAAUAAGGAUGUUAAAUAUGCAUUUAAAAGAAAUAAAGGAAAAAGAGAACUUCAGGCUCUGGAAUUUCUAGUUUCAUCAAUCUUCUAGCCACAAGGAAAUUACUACCAGUCAAUACCAGAUGAGAUAUUUA